RNAcentral lists this long non-coding RNA (1150 nucleotides) under Homo sapiens (human). RNAcentral's name for it is "non-protein coding lnc-GTDC1-27:3". Lineage: Eukaryota; Metazoa; Chordata; Mammalia; Primates; Hominidae. The record is from RNAcentral.
AUUGGCAGUUGGCCCUUCAGCUGCUGUACAGCCUCGGUAGGGGCCCAGGGGUAUUGAAUCUGGUUUUGGACCACAGGAGGAGAGUGAAGUGAAGUACAACCAAUAUUGUCAACAGCAAGAUCGUCAAAAACACCCCCAAAGAUAACGCUUAGAAAUAAUUUCUACCAGCUAUCUGCAUCAAGUUGACUUAAUCCAGUCAAGUUGACACAAAAUUAACCAUCACACACUCUGCAAGGAAAACAACUGCCUUGGAAGGUAGCUAACCUGCGGUGAACUUUGUGUGAUAGAGAAACAAAAUUUGUUUCUUUCUUUAGGAGUUGCUUUCUACUGUACCAUGAGUCCAACUAAGCCUAUCUAAAAUAGGGCUGGUGAUACACACUUCUCUCAUCUGGAGCUUCAUGGGUGAAUUCCAAAUUCUUCUGUCCCAUGAUCUGCAUCAAGGCAUCUAAUUUAUACUUAAAAGCUUUUGUUACUAAAUUUGGACUCUGUCCAAAAUAACCACUCACUGCAUGCUGUUAUUGCCUACCAUUAUUUUUAAAAAAAUACUUUUCAUAAUCUGAAGCUAUCCGGUAUUGAAUGUUUACCAUGAGUUUCCUGCUGCUAGAAGGUAAACUUAGUGAGAACAGAGACACAAAUAACUUUUUUUCACUAUCGCAUCCUCAUUGCCUAGAAGAGUGCCUGGCGUACAGAAGACAGUCAAUAGAUAUCAGUUGAAUAAAUGAAUGACCUAGCAUAGUAGACAUUCAAUAAAUAUCAGUUGAAUGAAUGAAUGAGCCGACAUAUAGUAGGCAUUCUAUAAAUAUCAGUUGAAUGAAUGACGAACAGCAGGAAAGAGAUAAAGUGAUGGUAAAGAGUGAUUGAGCAUGGAAUGAGCGGUUUUCUUUGUGUGUGUGUGUGUGUGUGUGUGUGUGUGUGUUUUGUAACAGAUAAUUAGAAAAUACCUUUUCUGAGCAACUGAUGACAUUUGACCAGAACUGGAAUGAUGAAAGCAGGACUAUUUUAUCUACUAGGAAUUAUAAGCAUAAUGCCUGUGACUAAGAGUUUUUCAGCACCUGGGAAAGUGUUUCAGGCCUGGAAAAAUAUUACUGGCAUUAAUUUAUGAAAAGAAUACAGCAAAAUUGAAACCAACAAUAUUUAUUUAAAUGCAUAC